RNAcentral lists this transfer RNA (73 nucleotides) under Zingiber officinale. It matches the Rfam family "tRNA". From Rfam's summary of the family: Transfer RNA (tRNA) molecules are approximately 80 nucleotides in length. Their secondary structure includes four short double-helical elements and three loops (D, anti-codon, and T loops). Lineage: Eukaryota; Viridiplantae; Streptophyta; Magnoliopsida; Zingiberales; Zingiberaceae. The record is from Rfam by way of RNAcentral.
GCUGGAGUAGCUCAGUUGAUUAGAGCUUAUGGCUAUUAACCACAAGAUCAAAGGUUUAAAUCCUUUUUUAGCG